GACGAACGCUGGCGGCGUGCCUAAUACAUGCAAGUCGAACGCAGUGGGGACGGGUGAGUAACACGUGGGUAACCUCCCAUCAGAGGGAUAAAACUUGGAAACAGGGGCUAACACGAUACUGAUGGGUUGACCCGCGGUGCAUUAGCUAGUUGGGGAGGUAACUGCCCACCAAGGCCACGAUGCAUAGCCGAACUGAGAGGGUGAUCGGCCACACUGGGACUGAGACACGGCCCAGACUCCUACGGGAGGCAGCAGUAGGGAAUCUUCGGCAAUGGACGAAAGUCUGACCGAGCAACGCCGCGUGAGUGAAGAAGGUUUUCGGAUCGUAAAACUCUGUUGUUAGAGAAGCGGUAUCUAACCAGAAAGCCACGGCUAACUACGUGCCAGCAGCCGCGUUAAUAC
Molecule: ribosomal RNA, 402 nt
Filed under: uncultured bacterium
Lineage: Bacteria
Description: partial 16S ribosomal RNA
Rfam family: Bacterial small subunit ribosomal RNA
Source: RNAcentral